This 279-nucleotide unclassified non-coding RNA is filed under the name plant metagenome. RNAcentral's name for it is "partial contains small subunit ribosomal RNA, internal transcribed spacer 1, and 5.8S ribosomal RNA". The record is from RNAcentral.
UUUCCGUAGGUGAACCUGCGGAAGGAUCAUUAUUGUAUAACCGAGGUUCGAGGUCUGGCGCUGUCCCGGAAGCUCGUGCACUCACGAUUUACCUCACACACAUCCAUCUCACCGCUAUGUGCGCCACCGCGUGGUUCUCCUUGGUCUCGCUCGUAGCGGGGCUUACGUUAUUGCUUACUCUGUGUGUUUAGGCGAGUAUGUACUUUUUGUUUUUGCGAUUACCCACUGAUCACAACUUUCAACAACCGAUCACUUAGCUCGCGGAUCGGUGAAGAACAC